This 73-nucleotide transfer RNA is filed under the name Stegodyphus mimosarum. It matches the Rfam family "tRNA". Rfam says of the family: Transfer RNA (tRNA) molecules are approximately 80 nucleotides in length. Their secondary structure includes four short double-helical elements and three loops (D, anti-codon, and T loops). Lineage: Eukaryota; Metazoa; Arthropoda; Arachnida; Araneae; Eresidae. The record is from Rfam by way of RNAcentral.
GUCUGCGUGGUUCAAUGGUCAGACUGCUCGGCGUGUAUUCGAGAGGUUCUAGGUUCGAGUCCCGGCGAAGGCA